Non-coding RNA from Chrysemys picta bellii (western painted turtle), 663 nucleotides. Lineage: Eukaryota; Metazoa; Chordata; Testudines; Emydidae. The record is from RefSeq and is a predicted model, not a curated record.
UUCAAAGAUUCAGAGGAUUCAGACAGCAGUCACUAACUUUACUUCUAGGGGAAUUCUGCACCACUGCACGUGCACAGAAUUCAUGUUCCUCACAGAUUUAUUUGCUUCCCUGCAGAAAAAUGACUCUCUGAUGGGGAAGCAAAGGGAAGCCGCAAAAGGGUCAUGCGCCGCUCCCCAGCAGCACGGGUGCAUUGUUUCGGGCAUCUGGAGCAGCCAGCAAAGAGGCACUGCCAUGUUGGAGUUGGCAGUUGAGGAAUACUGAUAGAUGAGAAUAAAGCCUUCAAUAGCUCCAUGUACAGGGCGGGUUAAAUCUGCUGCUGCUCUUCUGAUUCCUCACUAGAGGGUGAUACGUCAAUAAGGAUGGGAAGAUUGCGUGGCAGAUGGAUGAUGGGUGAAAAACCUGAGAGAAAACAAUGAGGGCAGCUGGUUCCUGGUGACUGCUCAGGUGACUAAGCUGAGGUUCUGGCCCAUGUGUGCCAAUGGAUCUAUCUUGCUUUAAGAAUAACAGGAUGUACGUACACAUUUGUAGAUAAUCUUCACAAAGUGCGAAAACAAAUUACACAAUACUCACUCCACAUCAGUUUCUCUCCAAAAAUUGAAACUGAACUACUGCAAGGACCUGAAAUCAAAUGUGAUUAGCCUCGUGACAUUACACAUUCACAC